Molecule: ribosomal RNA, 464 nt
Filed under: uncultured Klebsiella sp.
Lineage: Bacteria; Pseudomonadati; Pseudomonadota; Gammaproteobacteria; Enterobacterales; Enterobacteriaceae
Description: bacterial SSU rRNA
Rfam family: Bacterial small subunit ribosomal RNA
Source: RNAcentral
CCUACGGGCGGCUGCAGUGGGGAAUAUUGCACAAUGGGCGCAAGCCUGAUGCAGCCAUGCCGCGUGUGUGAAGAAGGCCUUCGGGUUGUAAAGCACUUUCAGCGGGGAGGAAGGCGGUGAGGUUAAUAACCUCAUCGAUUGACGUUACCCGCAGAAGAAGCACCGGCUAACUCCGUGCCAGCAGCCGCGGUAAUACGGAGGGUGCAAGCGUUAAUCGGAAUUACUGGGCGUAAAGCGCACGCAGGCGGUCUGUCAAGUCGGAUGUGAAAUCCCCGGGCUCAACCUGGGAACUGCAUUCGAAACUGGCAGGCUAGAGUCUUGUAGAGGGGGGUAGAAUUCCAGGUGUAGCGGUGAAAUGCGUAGAGAUCUGGAGGAAUACCGGUGGCGAAGGCGGCCCCCUGGACAAAGACUGACGCUCAUGUGCGAAAGCGUGGGGAGCAAACAGGAUUAGAUACCUUGUAGUC